UACAGAGGGUGCAAGCGUUGUUCGGAAUUAUUGGGCGUAAAGCGCACGUAGGCGGCUUUGCAAGUUAGAGGUGAAAGCCCGGGGCUCAACUCCGGAAUUGCCUUUAAAACUGCAUCGCUAGAAUUGUGGAGAGGUAAGUGGAAUUCCGAGUGUAGAGGUGAAAUUCGUAGAUAUUCGGAAGAACACCAGUGGCGAAGGCGACUUACUGGACACAUAUUGACGCUGAGGUGCGAAAGCGUGGGGAGCAAACAGG
RNAcentral lists this ribosomal RNA (253 nucleotides) under uncultured bacterium. Its description in RNAcentral is "partial 16S ribosomal RNA". It matches the Rfam family "Bacterial small subunit ribosomal RNA", at positions 524 to 776 of the family's 1533-position model. The record is from RNAcentral.